CGUUACGGCCAUGCACUCUGAACAAGUCCAAUCUCGUCUAAUCUCGGAAGCUAAGCAGGUUUGGGCCUUUUUAGUACUUGGAUGGUAAACCACCUAGGAAGACCAGGUGGUGUAGGCGU
RNAcentral lists this ribosomal RNA (119 nucleotides) under Pteropus vampyrus (large flying fox). Lineage: Eukaryota; Metazoa; Chordata; Mammalia; Chiroptera; Pteropodidae. The record is from RNAcentral.